UCAGCAGCCGCGGUAAUACGGAGGGUGCAAGCGUUAAUCGGAAUUACUGGGCGUAAAGCGUGCGUAGGUGGUUUGUUAAGUCAGAUGUGAAAGCCCCGGGCUCAACCUGGGAACUGCAUUUGAAACUGACUAACUAGAGUAUAGGAGAGGAAAGUGGAAUUUCUGGUGUAGCGGUGAAAUGCGUAGAUAUCAGAAGGAACAUCAAUGGCGAAGGCAGCUUUCUGGACUAAUACUGACACUGAGGUACGAAAGCGUGGGUAGCAAACAGGAUUAGAUACCCUGGUAGUCCACGCCGUAAACGAUGACAACUAGCCGUUGGGAGGGUUUACCUCUUAGUGGCGAAGCUAACGCGUUAAGUUGUCCGCCUGGGGAGUACGGCCGCAAGGUUAAAACUCAAAGGAAUUGACGGG
RNAcentral lists this ribosomal RNA (410 nucleotides) under uncultured bacterium. RNAcentral describes it as "bacterial SSU rRNA". It matches the Rfam family "Bacterial small subunit ribosomal RNA", at positions 508 to 917 of the family's 1533-position model. The record is from RNAcentral.